This is a non-coding RNA of Salmo salar (Atlantic salmon), 489 nucleotides long. The record is from RefSeq and is a predicted model, not a curated record. Lineage: Eukaryota; Metazoa; Chordata; Actinopteri; Salmoniformes; Salmonidae.
AUGCAUCUCUCUGGGGGACAUGACACCAAAGCUAAGAGCGCCCGGCCCGGGAUAUAAACCAGCCACCUUUGGACCACAGGUCCAACUCCUGCCACAGCUCCAACUCCUUAGCCGCUGGACGAAAACCUGAGUUAAUCUUGAGAAAUUAGCAUAAAUUAAUCUGCCAAAAUGAAGACAAAACGCUUUGGAGACAUACAUGGUAUCACUUGUUAUACAUAAGUAUUAUACAUAAAUCAUUGCCAAAAGCACAAGACAUAUAUUAUUUAUGGAUUGACCAUAUAGAGAUAUAAAACAUUAUUUUUAACUACUGCAAAGCAAUUACAUGUGGCUCAGGAACCACUGACUCGCUGCAUUAUUCUAUUGUAUUAUCAAGACACCUGCUGUUAACUCUUAACUACUUAGGACAGCUCACGAGGUGUUCUAAAUAUCUGCCGACUAGGUGGGACUAGAGACUUCAUGCAUAGCUUUAAUUUAUACCCAUAAGUGUAA